RNAcentral lists this transfer RNA (65 nucleotides) under Cautires sp. UPOL 000189. RNAcentral's name for it is "tRNA-Phe". The record is from RNAcentral. Lineage: Eukaryota; Metazoa; Arthropoda; Insecta; Coleoptera; Lycidae.
AUAUUUUAAGGUAUAAUACCUUCUUAAUAUCUUCAAUAUUAAACUUUAAAUAAGCUAUUAAAACU